UACGAAGGGGCAAGCGUUGUUCGGAAUUGCUGGGCGUAAAGCGUGCGCAGGCGGUUAUGCAAGACAGAUGUGAAAUCCCCGGGCUCAACCUGGGAACUGCAUUUGUGACUGCAUAGCUGGAGUGCGGCAGAGGGGGAUGGAAUUCCGCGUGCAGCAGUGAAAUGCGUAGAUAUGCGGAGGAACACCGAUGGCGAAGGCAAUCCCCUGGGCCUGCACUGACGCUCAUGCACGAAAGCGU
Molecule: ribosomal RNA, 238 nt
Filed under: uncultured bacterium
Lineage: Bacteria
Description: partial 16S ribosomal RNA
Rfam family: Bacterial small subunit ribosomal RNA
Source: RNAcentral